Molecule: ribosomal RNA, 1020 nt
Filed under: Triticum aestivum (bread wheat)
Lineage: Eukaryota; Viridiplantae; Streptophyta; Magnoliopsida; Poales; Poaceae
Description: partial small subunit ribosomal RNA
Source: RNAcentral
AUGGCGUACUACUCAGAUCAUCAUGCUUAUGCGAGCAACACUACAAACAGCAUGGAAACUAUUCAAGAACCGAUAAGUAAGAUUUCCCAUCGAUUAGAUGAUUUAGCUCGGCAGCGAGAAGUAGUUUUUGAGGAUAGGCCUUGCUCUUUUGAUCCUUAUUCCAGAGGCCAUCCUUAUGUUGCUCCUACUUGCCAUAUUUGUGGAUUUCAGGGCCAUUCGCCCGCUGAAUGUCAGCGUGGUUACUCUCACCCUCCAGGUUUUUUUGGCAUGAGCUUCGCUCAAGAGCAUAGCUCAUACCAAAACAAUCACUCUCAUGGGUGGCCUAAAAACCCGAAUAUGUCAUAUAGGAGCAACAACCCUGAGAUCUCACCGUUUGCCUCUAGUUAUCCAAUGCAAGGAUUUAGGUACAAUGAGGAGAGCCACAACUAUGCUCCACAACAGAUUUAUUCAGCUCCUACUCAUAUACCUCAACACCAGGAGAUGUUGCCAAUGGAGUUAAAUGGUCCUCCAUUUGGUCAACCAACAACUCCAGCAACUGCUGAGCAAUCUCAUGUGCAAGUGCCCACACAAGAUGAAUUUGAUGAUAUAGACAAGCUCACAUUGCUUAGUCUCGAGUUCACUUGGAGUGCUGAAGAUGAUCCAAUUAGGCUGAUGAUACUAGAUGAAAUGAAGAAUAUCAAGAGUGGAAAAGAGCUAGUGGAUGAAGUAAGGAAGAUUGAUAAGAACAUCAACGCUGGUAGUACUAUCUCAUCUAUCCUUGAGCUGAGUGCUGCUGAGAUUUCUAGUCAUUCAUGUGAGGUUCCAACACCGUCACAUUUAGCUGAUCAAGAUAGCGAGAGCCCAGAGGAAGAGAUACCUCAGAUUGAAGAUGUACUCGAAGCCAAGGCACAAGAUGAUCCAGAGCUCAAAUGCCCAAGUGAUCAAGUUGAAGAUCCAAUGUCUAUCCCUCCUGAAGAAGUAAAAGAAGCUGCUGUAGAUGAAGAUGAAGAACCUGAGAUUCAUUUGCCUAUUGUCAUAUAA